This 455-nucleotide ribosomal RNA is filed under the name uncultured prokaryote. RNAcentral's name for it is "bacterial SSU rRNA". It matches the Rfam family "Bacterial small subunit ribosomal RNA", at positions 365 to 810 of the family's 1533-position model. The record is from RNAcentral.
GGCGGAUCGAGGCCUAAGACUGACGCAGCAACGCCGCGUGAGUGAUGAAGGUUUUCGGAUCGUAAAGCUCUGUCAGAGGGGAAGAAACUCCCGGGUGUAAAUAACACUUGGGCCUGACGGUACCCUCAAAGGAAGCACCGGCUAACUCCGUGCCAGCAGCCGCGGUAAUACGGAGGGUGCAAGCGUUGUUCGGAAUUAUUGGGCGUAAAGCGCGUGUAGGCGGUUGUUUAAGUCUGAUGUGAAAGCCCUGGGCUCAACCCGGGAAGUGCAUUGGAAACUGGGCAACUUGAGUACGGGAGAGGGUAGUGGAAUUCCGAGUGUAGGGGUGAAAUCCGUAGAUAUUCGGAGGAACACCGGUGGCGAAGGCGGCUACCUGGACCGAUACUGACGCUGAGACGCGAAAGCGUGGGGAGCAAACAGGAUUAGAUACCCUGGUAGUCCACGCCGUAAACGAU